UACGGAGGGUGCAAGCGUUGUCCGGAUUUAUUGGGUUUAAAGGGUGCGUAGGCGGCUAUUUAAGUCAGUGGUGAAAUCCUGCAGCUUAACUGUAGAACAGCCAUUGAUACUGGAUAGCUUGAGUACAGACGAGGUAGGCGGAAUUUAUGGUGUAGCGGUGAAAUGCAUAGAUACCAUAAAGAACCCCUAUUGCGAAGGCAGCUUACUAGGCUGUAACUGACGCUGAGGCACGAAAGCGUGGGGGAUCAAACAGG
RNAcentral lists this ribosomal RNA (254 nucleotides) under uncultured bacterium. RNAcentral describes it as "partial 16S ribosomal RNA". It matches the Rfam family "Bacterial small subunit ribosomal RNA", at positions 524 to 776 of the family's 1533-position model. The record is from RNAcentral.